This 253-nucleotide ribosomal RNA is filed under the name uncultured bacterium. RNAcentral describes it as "partial 16S ribosomal RNA". It matches the Rfam family "Bacterial small subunit ribosomal RNA", at positions 524 to 776 of the family's 1533-position model. The record is from RNAcentral.
UACGGAGGGUGCAAGCGUUAUCCGGAUUCACUGGGUUUAAAGGGUGCGUAGGUGGGCUGGUAAGUCAGUGGUGAAAUCUCCAGGCUUAACUUGGAAACUGCCAUUGAUACUAUCAGUCUUGAAUACCGUGGAGGUCAGCGGAAUAUGUCAUGUAGCGGUGAAAUGCUUAGAUAUGACAUAGAACACCGAUUGCGAAGGCAGCUCGCUAAACUUAUAUUGACGCUGAGGCACGAAAGCGUGGGGAUCAAACAGG